AUCUUAUCAAGAGAGGUGGAGGGACUGGCCCUGUGAAGCCCGGCAACCUGUAUUUAUACAAGGUGCCAAUUCCCGAUAGAUGAGAU
Molecule: non-coding RNA, 86 nt
Filed under: Eubacterium sp.
Lineage: Bacteria; Bacillati; Bacillota; Clostridia; Eubacteriales; Eubacteriaceae
Also listed under: 1 other name
Description: SAM-I sequence
Rfam family: SAM riboswitch aptamer (S box leader)
About the family: The SAM riboswitch is found upstream of a number of genes which code for proteins involved in methionine or cysteine biosynthesis in Gram-positive bacteria.
Source: RNAcentral